CGCGGCCUAUCAGCUUGUUGGUGGGGUAAAGGCCUACCAAGGCAACGACGGGUAGCUGGUCUGAGAGGACGAUCAGCCACACUGGGACUGAGACACGGCCCAGACUCCUACGGGAGGCAGCAGCAGGGAAUAUUGCACAAUGGGCGCAAGCCUGAUGCAGCGACGCCGCGUGAGGGAUGAAGGCCCUCGGGUUGUAAACCUCUUUCAGGAGGGACGAAGCGAAAGUGACGGUACCUCCAGAAGAAGCCCCGGCCAACUACGUGCCAGCAGCCGCGGUAAUACGUAGGGGGCGAGCGUUGUCCGGAUUCAUUGGGCGUAAAGAGCUCGUAGGCGGCUCAGUAAGUCGGCCGUGAAAGCCCGGAGCUCAACUCCGGGACGCCGGUCGAUACUGCUGUGGCUAGGGUCCGGUAGAGGAGAGUGGAAUUCCCGGUGUAGCGGUGAAAUGCGCAGAUAUCGGGAGGAACACCAGUAGCGAAGGCGGCUCUCUGGGCCGGUACCGACGCUGAGGAGCGAAAGCUAGGGGAGCAAACAGGAUUAGAUACCCUGGUAGUCCUAGCCGUAAACGUUGGGCACUAGGUGUGGCGGAUUCAUUGACAUCUGCCGUGCCGGCGCUAACGCAUUAAGUGCCCCGCCUGGGGAGUACGG
Molecule: ribosomal RNA, 645 nt
Filed under: uncultured bacterium
Lineage: Bacteria
Description: bacterial SSU rRNA
Rfam family: Bacterial small subunit ribosomal RNA
Source: RNAcentral